AAUGUGUGGCAUACGGCUCAGUAACACGUAGUCAACAUGCCCAGGGGACGUGGAUAACCUCGGGAAACUGAGGAUAAACCGCGAUAGGUCACUACUUCUGGAAUGGGUAAUGACCCAAACCUAUAUGGCCCCUGGAUUGGACUGCGGCCGAUCAGGCUGUUGGUGAGGUAAUGGCCCACCAAACCUGUAACCGGUACGGGCUCUGAGAGGAGGAGCCCGGAGAUGGGCACUGAGACAAGGGCCCAGGCCCUAUGGGGCGCAGCAGGCGCGAAACCUCUGCAAUAGGCGAAAGCUUGACAGGGUUACUCUGAGUGAUUUCCGUUAAGGAGAUCUUUUGGCACCUCUAAAAAUGGUGCAGAAUAAGGGGUGGGCAAGUCUGGUGUCAGCCGCCGCGGUAAUACCAGCACCCCGAGUGGUCGGGACGUUUAUUGGGCCUAAAGCAUCCGUAGCCGGUUCUACAAGUCUUCCGUUAAAUCCACCUGCUUAACAGAUGGGCUGCGGAAGAUACUAUAGAGCUAGGAGGCGGGAGAGGCAAGCGGUACUCGAUGGGUAGGGGUAAAAUCCGUUGAUCCAUUGAAGACCACCAGUGGCGAAGGCGGCUUGCCAGAACGCGCUCGACGGUGAGGGAUGAAAGCUGGGGGAGCAAACCGGAUUAGAUACCCGGGUAGUCCCAGCUGUAAAC
RNAcentral lists this ribosomal RNA (682 nucleotides) under uncultured Nitrososphaerota archaeon. Its description in RNAcentral is "bacterial SSU rRNA". It matches the Rfam family "Archaeal small subunit ribosomal RNA", at positions 73 to 758 of the family's 1478-position model. Lineage: Archaea; Thermoproteati; Nitrososphaerota. The record is from RNAcentral.